GGAGGUGGGGUAAUAGCAUGUGCUUGGCAUGCAAAAGGUCCUGGGUUCAAUCCCCAGCGCCUCCG
Molecule: transfer RNA, 65 nt
Filed under: Camelus bactrianus (Bactrian camel)
Lineage: Eukaryota; Metazoa; Chordata; Mammalia; Artiodactyla; Camelidae
Also listed under: 2 other names
Rfam family: tRNA
About the family: Transfer RNA (tRNA) molecules are approximately 80 nucleotides in length. Their secondary structure includes four short double-helical elements and three loops (D, anti-codon, and T loops).
Source: Rfam by way of RNAcentral